Molecule: ribosomal RNA, 217 nt
Filed under: Escherichia coli
Lineage: Bacteria; Pseudomonadati; Pseudomonadota; Gammaproteobacteria; Enterobacterales; Enterobacteriaceae
Description: partial 23S ribosomal RNA
Rfam family: Bacterial large subunit ribosomal RNA
Source: RNAcentral
GUUGGUGUUGUCAUGCCAAUGGCACUGCCCGGUAGCUAAAUGCGGAAGAGAUAAGUGCUGAAAGCAUCUAAGCACGAAACUUGCCCCGAGAUGAGUUCUCCCUGACUCCUUGAGAGUCCUGAAGGAACGUUGAAGACGACGACGUUGAUAGGCCGGGUGUGUAAGCGCAGCGAUGCGUUGAGCUAACCGGUACUAAUGAACCGUGAGGCUUAACCUU